RNAcentral lists this signal recognition particle RNA (160 nucleotides) under Clostridiales bacterium. Its description in RNAcentral is "partial signal recognition particle sRNA large type". It matches the Rfam family "Bacterial large signal recognition particle RNA", at positions 103 to 256 of the family's 256-position model. Rfam says of the family: The signal recognition particle (SRP) is a universally conserved ribonucleoprotein involved in the co-translational targeting of proteins to membranes. Lineage: Bacteria; Bacillati; Bacillota; Clostridia; Eubacteriales. The record is from RNAcentral.
GAUGUUGAUACUAAGGUCUUGUGCAACGUCUGCUUGCGAACCGUGUCAGGGCUUGACCGCAGCAGCACUAAACAAGAAGUGGCGUGUGCCACAAGGUAGCUUUAGCGGAGUCAACCGACGGGAAAACGCUUCGGUGCGUAUUAUCAAAGACGGUGCGCAG